GGAUUAGUAGCGUAAUUGUAGUGCGACAGGCUGUUAACCUGUGGGUUGAAGGUUCAAAUCACUCCUAAUCCG
Molecule: transfer RNA, 72 nt
Filed under: Clostridium gasigenes
Lineage: Bacteria; Bacillati; Bacillota; Clostridia; Eubacteriales; Clostridiaceae
Description: tRNA-Asn
Rfam family: tRNA
About the family: Transfer RNA (tRNA) molecules are approximately 80 nucleotides in length. Their secondary structure includes four short double-helical elements and three loops (D, anti-codon, and T loops).
Source: RNAcentral